AACAGGCUUAUCUCCCCCAAGAGUCCACAUCGACGGGGAGGUUUGGCACCUCGAUGUCGGCUCAUCACAUCCUGGGGCUGUAGUAGGUCCCAAGGGUUGGGCUGUUCGCCCAUUAAAGUGGUACGCGAGCUGGGUUCAGAACGUCGUGAGACAGUUCGGUCCCUAUCCGUCGCAGGCGUAGGCAAUUUGAGAAGACCUGUCCUUAGUACGAGAGGACCGGGAUGGACGUACCUCUGGUGUACCAGUUGUCCUGCCAAGGGCAUGGCUGGGUAGCUAUGUACGGAAUGGAUAAGCGCUGAAAGCAUCUAAGCGCGAAGCCAACUUCAAGAUAAGAUUUCCCACCGCAAGGGUAAGACCCCAGAAAGACUAUCUGGUUG
RNAcentral lists this ribosomal RNA (377 nucleotides) under Clostridioides difficile. RNAcentral describes it as "bacterial LSU rRNA". It matches the Rfam family "Bacterial large subunit ribosomal RNA", at positions 2476 to 2855 of the family's 2925-position model. The record is from RNAcentral. Lineage: Bacteria; Bacillati; Bacillota; Clostridia; Peptostreptococcales; Peptostreptococcaceae.